AACGUAGGAGACAAACGUUAUCCGGAGUUACUGGGCGUAAAGGGCGUGCAGGUGGUCUGUUAAGUCUGGCGUGAAAGCUCCUGGCUAAACCGGGAGAGGUCGUUGGAUACUGGCGGACUAGAGGACGGUAGAGGCGUGUGGAAUUCCGGGUGUAGUGGUGAAAUGCGUAGAGAUCCGGAGGAACACCGGUGGCGAAGGCGGUUCUCUGGGCCUGUACUGACGCUGAGGAGCGAAAGCUAGGGGAGCAAACGGG
This 253-nucleotide ribosomal RNA is filed under the name uncultured bacterium. Its description in RNAcentral is "partial 16S ribosomal RNA". It matches the Rfam family "Bacterial small subunit ribosomal RNA", at positions 524 to 776 of the family's 1533-position model. The record is from RNAcentral.